RNAcentral lists this unclassified non-coding RNA (298 nucleotides) under Hevea brasiliensis (rubber tree). The record is from RNAcentral. Lineage: Eukaryota; Viridiplantae; Streptophyta; Magnoliopsida; Malpighiales; Euphorbiaceae.
ACCAAAAUCAGUAAAUUUGUCAUCACAGUGGCAGGCAUCAUUCACGACAUCAUCAGCGGGAAGUUGGACUUAGGAAAGCAUGAGCUAAAUGGACUCGUUCUUGGAGGUGUCAGUGCCAAGAAUCAUCUUCAGCAUUGAGUAGUCCUUGCCAUGAGGCUUUCGCAAUUGAAUAACCACUCGAUGGUCACGGAGAGCCACUCGAAGGGAUAGUGAUGAUCAUAUCAUAAAGCAAAAGAGGGUUUUUUAUCCAUAGUUUGAAAAGAGAGAAGAGAAGAAAGGAAGAGGAAUAGGAUGGUGG